UCAAACUUGGUCAUUUAGAGGAAGUAAAAGUCGUAACAAGGUUUCCGUAGGUGAACCUGCGGAAGGAUCAUUAAAAAGUUUGUCACAUCCGUGACCUACUCUUGUGCAUUUGUUUUUCAUUGCCUUUGGCAGUCUCAGUCUUUUCGUAAGAAAAGCUCUGAUUUUUUUUUUUUUUCAGGAGGCUGCCAGUAGUGUUUUAACAGUUAAUAGUGUUAAUACAAAACCCCCAAAAAUCCUUUUUUACCUAAUAUGUCUGAAUUAUUUAAAAUCUUGUGAUUUUAUAAUCAUAGAAUUUUAAAACAACUUUUGACAACGGAUCUCUUGGCUCUCGCAUCGAUGAAGAACGCAGC
Molecule: unclassified non-coding RNA, 350 nt
Filed under: uncultured fungus
Lineage: Eukaryota; Fungi
Description: partial contains small subunit ribosomal RNA, internal transcribed spacer 1, and 5.8S ribosomal RNA
Rfam family: Eukaryotic small subunit ribosomal RNA (bases 1-73)
Source: RNAcentral